UCUAUGAUUUUCUUUUCAUUCUAGUGGAAAGUCAUCUCUGAAUAAUAAGUCUUUUUUCUCUUGAGGGAAGGUGCUCAUGUCAUUUUCCUGGCUACUGAUUCACAAAUAACAAAUUAGCUGGCAAUGUGAAUGUAAUUUUGCCUUUACUUCCUUAUAGUUUUAUCUUUCAUGUAUAAAUGUCAUUCUUUUGAUGUAGAAGCUUGGUAUUCUUCAUCUACUGUAAGAGAGGUAACAGACAACUGAUUCAAAAGUUUAAUUUUUUAUAGGUAUCUUUUCAAUGAUGCUGAAGUAAAACCAUUUGAUUCUGCUCAGCUUGCUUCUGAAUGUUUUGGUGGAGAAAUGACUCUUAUUACAACAAUUCUAUGAACAAGCUAAAGAAUUCCACCUGGUAAAGUUGCUAUGCCAAAGUACAACACAAAAUUGAUUCCGUGCAGAAGAUCUGCAAAACAUCUGCAGACUCCAAAAACAGAGGAUAUGGUCUGGAGAAAUAUGAGAGGAGUCAGAGUCAAAGUACUGCAUAUGCAACCCUGGAAAAUGAAAGUAAGCUACUACAGAAAACUUAAAAUUAUUUAAUGAUGAGCAAGGAAUAUAAUUGAUGGCAGACCCUGCAUGGAGGGCAUAAAGUGGAGUUACUUCCUUGCAUACUGAGACCAGAACCAUCCGCAACGAGGCCAUAAU
Chrysemys picta bellii (western painted turtle) is the source of this 678-nucleotide non-coding RNA. The record is from RefSeq and is a predicted model, not a curated record. NCBI's taxonomy places the organism in Eukaryota, Metazoa, Chordata, Testudines, Emydidae.